UUCGCCCUUAGAGUUUGAUCCUGGCUCAGGACGAACGCUGGCGGCGCGCCUAACACAUGCAAGUCGAACGGAGCUUAGAGAGCUUGCUUUUUAAGCUUAGUGGCGAACGGGUGAGUAACGCGUGAGUAACCUGCCCUAGAGUGGGGGACAACAGUUGGAAACGACUGCUAAUACCGCAUAAGCCCACGGUACCGCAUGGUACUGAGGGAAAAGGAUUUAUUCGCUUUAGGAUGGACUCGCGUCCAAUUAGCUAGUUGGUGAGGUAACGGCCCACCAAGGCGACGAUUGGUAGCCGGACUGAGAGGUUGAACGGCCACAUUGGGACUGAGACACGGCCCAGACUCCUACGGGAGGCAGCAGUGGGGGAUAUUGCACAAUGGGGGAAACCCUGAUGCAGCGACGCCGCGUGGAGGAAGAAGGUUUUCGGAUUGUAAACUCCUGUCGUUAGGGACGAUAAUGACGGUACCUAACAAGAAAGCACCGGCUAACUACGUGCCAGCAGCCGCGGUAAAACGUAGGGUGCAAGCGUUGUCCGGAAUUACUGGGUGUAAAGGGAGCGCAGGCGGGAAGACAAGUUGGAAGUGAAAACCAUGGGCUCAACCCAUGAAUUGCUUUCAAAACUGUUUUUCUUGAGUAGUGCAGAGGUAGAUGGAAUUCCCGGUGUAGCGGUGGAAUGCGUAGAUAUCGGGAGGAACACCAGUGGCGAAGGCGGUCUACUGGGCACCAACUGACGCUGAGGCUCGAAAGCAUGGGUAGCAAACAGGAUUAGAUACCCUGGUAGUCCAUGCCGUAAACGAUGAUUACUAGGUGUUGGGGGAUUGACCCCCUCAGUGCCGCAGUUAACACAAUAAGUAAUCCACCUGGGGAGUACGACCGCAAGGUUGAAACUCAAAGGAAUUGACGGGGGCCCGCACAAGCAGUGGAGUAUGUGGUUUAAUUCGAAGCAACGCGUAGAACCUUACCAGGUCUUGACAUCCAACUAACGAAGCAGAGAUGCAUUAGGUGCCCUUCGGGGAAAGUUGAGACAGGUGGUGCAUGGUUGUCGUCAGCUCGUGUCGUGAGAUGUUGGGUUAAGUCCCGCAACGAGCGCAACCCUUGUGAUUAGUUGCUACGCAAGAGCACUCUAAUCAGACUGCCGCUGACAAAACGGAGGAAGGUGGGGACGACGUCAAAUCAUCAUGCCCUUUAUGACCUGGGCUACACACGUACUACAAUGGUCGUUAACAGAGGGAAGCAAUACCGCGAGGUGGAGCAAAACCCUAAAAACGGUCUCAGUUCAGAUUGUAGGCUGCAACUCGCCUACAUGAAGUUGGAAUUGCUAGUAAUCGCGGAUCAGCAUGCCACGGUGAAUACGUUCCCGGGCCUUGCACUCACCGCCCGUCA
Molecule: ribosomal RNA, 1383 nt
Filed under: uncultured bacterium
Lineage: Bacteria
Description: 16S ribosomal RNA
Rfam family: Bacterial small subunit ribosomal RNA
Source: RNAcentral